CCUACGGGGGGCAGCAGUAGGGAAUCUUCCACAAUGGGCGAAAGCCUGAUGGAGCAACGCCGCGUGGGUGAAGAAGGUCUUCGGAUCGUAAAACCCUGUUGUUAGAGAAGAAAGUGCGUGAGAGUAACUGUUCACGUUUCGACGGUAUCUAACCAGACAGCCACGGCUAACUACGUGCCAGCAGCCGCGGUAAUACGUAGGUGGCAAGCGUUAUCCGGAUUUAUUGGGCGUAAAGGGAACGCAGGCGGUCUUUUAAGUCUGAUGUGAAAGCCUUCGGCUUAACCGGAGUAGUGCAUUGGAAACUGGGAGACUGGAGUGCAGAAGAGGAGAGUGGAACUCCAUGUGUAGCGGUGAAAUGCGUAGAUAUAUGGAAGAACACCAGUGGCGAAAGCGGCUCUCUGGUCUGUAACUGACGCUGAGGUUCGAAAGCGUGGGUAGCAAACAGGAUUAGAUACCCUGGUAGUC
This 465-nucleotide ribosomal RNA is filed under the name uncultured bacterium. Its description in RNAcentral is "partial 16S ribosomal RNA". It matches the Rfam family "Bacterial small subunit ribosomal RNA", at positions 338 to 795 of the family's 1533-position model. The record is from RNAcentral.